GACGAACGCUGGCGGCGUGCUUAACACAUGCAAGUCGAACGGAAAGGCCCUGCUUUUGUGGGGUGCUCGAGUGGCGAACGGGUGAGUAACACGUGAGUAACCUGCCCUUGACUUUGGGAUAACUUCAGGAAACUGGGGCUAAUACCGGAUAGGAGCUCCUGCUGCAUGGUGGGGGUUGGAAAGUUUCGGCGGUUGGGGAUGGACUCGCGGCUUAUCAGCUUGUUGGUGGGGUAGUGGCUUACCAAGGCUUUGACGGGUAGCCGGCCUGAGAGGGUGACCGGCCACAUUGGGACUGAGAUACGGCCCAGACUCCUACGGGAGGCAGCAGUGGGGAAUAUUGCACAAUGGGCGGAAGCCUGAUGCAGCAACGCCGCGGGCGGGAUGACGGCCUUCGGGUUGUAAACCGCUUUCGCCUGUGACGAAGCGUGAGUGACGGUAAUGGGUAAAGAAGCACCGGCUAACUACGU
RNAcentral lists this ribosomal RNA (467 nucleotides) under uncultured bacterium. Its description in RNAcentral is "partial 16S ribosomal RNA". It matches the Rfam family "Bacterial small subunit ribosomal RNA", at positions 28 to 506 of the family's 1533-position model. The record is from RNAcentral.